GUUAUCUUUAAUGUGGUUUGAUUAUACUUUAAAACAUGUAUUUGGUAGUUUUCUAUACAUAUAUAUCAAUAUAUAUAUAUAUAUAUUUUAAGCUAAUUUGUACCAGUAUGAUUUUUGAUUGAUUUUCAUCUUGGAAUAUGGAGUUUUAGGGGUCACAUGAGGGAAGUGUUAAAUGAGGGCCCCCUGUAUCCAACCCACUCC
Molecule: long non-coding RNA, 201 nt
Filed under: Mytilus galloprovincialis (Mediterranean mussel)
Lineage: Eukaryota; Metazoa; Mollusca; Bivalvia; Mytilida; Mytilidae
Source: RNAcentral